AGGAAUUGUAAUGUAUCCAUUUUUGCAUUUUCUGCUCCAUAUCUAUUUCAGUGCCUGAAGCUCAGGAGGCAGUAAAUAAGCAAAUGAAUGACUCGCCUAAUUUUCAGCCUCCUGCCUGUCCUGCACUCCACCUACUGCUUGCUUUUUGGAAGCCCUAGGACUGCCUGCCCAUGCGGUGAACUUGGUCUAAAUUAUCUGGAUUCCCCGGGAAAAUUUGCAACUCUUGCUCAAAACCAAUUCUAAACCAUCAACCUAUUGGUCUAAAUGCAGAAGUAUUCUACAACAGGGUAAAAGAACUAUCCUGAGACUUCUGUCAACAUUUACCAGAUUGAAAACUCCUAAACAAUUUGGAUUUAUGCUUGUGGCUGACAUGGGAAACUUGAUGAGAAAACGUG
RNAcentral lists this long non-coding RNA (395 nucleotides) under Felis catus (domestic cat). RNAcentral's name for it is "lncRNA (ENSFCAG00000049178.1)". The record is from RNAcentral. Lineage: Eukaryota; Metazoa; Chordata; Mammalia; Carnivora; Felidae.